RNAcentral lists this ribosomal RNA (465 nucleotides) under uncultured bacterium. RNAcentral's name for it is "partial 16S ribosomal RNA". It matches the Rfam family "Bacterial small subunit ribosomal RNA", at positions 338 to 795 of the family's 1533-position model. The record is from RNAcentral.
CCUACGUGUGGCAGCAGUAGGGCAUCUUCCACAAUGGGCGAAAGCCUGAUGGAGCAACGCCGCGUGGGUGCAGAAGGUCUUCGGAUCGUAAAACCCUGUUGUUAGAGAAGAAAGUGCGUGAGAGUAACUGUUCACGUUUCGACGGUAUCUAACCAGAAAGCCACGGCUAACUACGUGCCAACAGCCGCGGUAAUACGUAGGUUGCAAGCGUUAUCCGGAAUUAUUGGGCGUAAAGCGAACGCAGGCGGUCUGUUAAGUCUGAUGUGAAAUCCUUGGGCUUAACCGGAGUAGUGCAUCGGAAACUGGGAGACUUGAGUGCAGAAGAGGAGAGUGGAACUCCAUGUGUAGCGGUGAAAUGCGUAGAUAUAUGGAAGAAAACCAGUGGCGAAAGCGGCUCUCUGGUCUGUAACUGACGCUGAGGUUCGAAAGCGUGGGUAGCAAACAGGAUUAGAUACCCUAGUAGUC